AUGAUUGGAGGACAGCCAGCAGCCACAGCAUCUUCCUCGGGAGCUGGGAGCGGAGCCAAGCGAGCGGCGCGGCUGCUAAGUCGGGGCGCUCCAGGGAGGGCGGGGGGGUGGCUUUUUGGCAGUCGGCGGCCUCCGCCUGCCAGGAGGAAUGGCGGGGAGCCGCUCGCCGUCUUCCCGGCCCCCCAGGAGCCGCUCCUCCUCCCCAAUCGCGCAAGCCGUUCCAGGCAGCCACCGACUGCUUCGGGGGGUUGUGGGCAGGCGGGCAAAGAGGCUGGCGCUGCAGAGCCGAGAGGUGAAGAGUGCGGGCCGGGAGGCGCUCCGCUCACGCCCUGUCCCGAAGUGCCGCCGCCGCCGCCCCCCGCGCGCGCCUCCCCUCCUGCCAGCCGCAGCGCCUCUCACGGGCCGAGCCGGCUUGGAGGGAGGGCGCAAGAGAUGCCCUUUCCGGCUCCAACUCUUUUCUCUAUCACCCAUGGCUGCGGCCGGCUGUUCUGGCAGGAGCGCAGCCGGGCUACUUGCCACCGCCGUUUCCCGGGUGGGCGCGGGUCCUUGGCGAGCAGCCUCGGUCGCCCAGAGAAGGCGGCGGCCGGCAGGAAUGUUGGCAGGAGGAGGCGCGCUGGGCCCGAGGCCGAAGGGCUCUCGGUGGAGGGCCUGGGCAGCGCCCGCCUUCCUUCGCCACCCGCGCGCCUCCCCGGAAAAGAGGAAAGGUCCCGCGGAGGGUCCACGGCCGAGAGCUCUGCCUGCUUCCCAGCUGCCGCCCACCUCCGCAGGGCUCGGUCGCUGACCUUCAGAAACAAGCCGGCAUUCUUCGGGGCUUGGCUGGCACCCUCCCAGGCCCGUCCUGCUCACAGGGCGCCCCUUGUGUUCCUCGCUGGAAGGAAGACCGCCCCCCUUCGCAGCCCAGCCCCCCGCUGCCCACGCCUGCAGCCGCCGCACAAAGGGUCCGCGGGCCGCUGCCAGGCCGACGGGCAAGAAUCUGCGGAGGAGGAAUUCGGCUCUAAGAUUUCCCUUGGGCUUUCUGGGGCUACAGCUUGGCCUUUAACCAGAGGCGCCUGGAUCCAGUCUGAAUUCGGUGCGUUUCGCCGCCAGGAACCAGAUUCUAACGGCUCUCGAAUUCACCUGAUUUCCAGGACUACAAGUCCCAUCAGUCCUAGCCAGCAUAGACCCUCGCGAGGAAUGCUGGGUGUUGCAAUCCUCCAGCGUCCCGAGGGCAGAGCUUGGGAGAUAGGCGUGUUGUUUGGGCCCUGA
Molecule: long non-coding RNA, 1245 nt
Filed under: Pogona vitticeps (central bearded dragon)
Lineage: Eukaryota; Metazoa; Chordata; Lepidosauria; Squamata; Agamidae
Description: lncRNA (ENSPVIG00000016226.1)
Source: RNAcentral